RNAcentral lists this long non-coding RNA (658 nucleotides) under Phasianus colchicus (ring-necked pheasant). RNAcentral's name for it is "lncRNA (ENSPCLG00000018615.1)". Lineage: Eukaryota; Metazoa; Chordata; Aves; Galliformes; Phasianidae. The record is from RNAcentral.
UAUGAUUCUACAAUUCUAUGUUCCCUCGCUUUGUGAUGGAAGGGACAUCUGCACACCUAAAGGUAACUGGACCUCAUGGGAACAUUGGGUCCAACUUGGCUUGGGGUUGGAGAUUCAGGAUCAUUGAGGUUCCUUCCAACCCGAUCUAUUCUGUGAUUCUGUGUUCCUAAUAGUUCUUUAAUAUUUAUGGGUACAAGCUCUGAUUAAGUGGGACUAUGUUGUGAGCGUUGAGAACAUUUUCAAUCUGAAAAAUCCUCCUCAAGAAGAAAUAUUUAGUCAACAAAAUAUCCUUCAUAAAGGAGUACUACAAAAUCUUUUGACUUUCCAUAAUAGGAGUGAAAACUUCCAAAUCAGCUAUUGCAUCAGUUGGAUCUCCUCUUUGAUGCUGUCCUUAUAGAGCAAAAGGCUCAGUUUCUGGGAAAACUCUAUUUGUUCUCCAGGGCUAUGCUUGUGUUCCUCUUCCCUCUUCAUGUCAAUGAAGGUCACAUGCAGAGAAUUUAUGAGCUCCACCACAGAGCCCUGCCAUGCAGCUGGAUGCAGAGAGAAAGAAAAAUGCUCAUUUUCAGCUGCAAGAGUGAGCAGAUCCGAAAUGAGAUCCAGCCCCCAGAUACCUGCAGCUGGUGAAGGACUGGGAGCUCACAGGAUGGGGCGAUGCUGA